Mya arenaria is the source of this 321-nucleotide long non-coding RNA. RefSeq lists it as uncharacterized. NCBI's taxonomy places the organism in Eukaryota, Metazoa, Mollusca, Bivalvia, Myida, Myidae. The record is from RefSeq and is a predicted model, not a curated record. The transcript has 3 exons.
CAAACCGGACUUUACCUAGAACUGGCUGUUUUCAGGGAAAUCACAUGCACAUAUGCUGUUGAUAAGAAAUGCAAAUCGAAGGCGAUAACGUUCAAACAAAAUUUAGAACGAUGUGACGUUGUUGAGAACAAGGAUAUAAUUCGGCGGAUGCUGGACAAUGAACUGAUGCCAAGCAGCAAACUUAAACUUCUUGAAGGAGACAAUUCCAAACAGCUUGGUCUGCAAUGUCUUCUUGUCCACUUCCUAUCGAUGAUGCUUAGAACAAAUGAAGGAUCGUCCGUUGUUCUGCCAUUUCAAUUGUUGAUGAAAAGUCCUGAAACU